AACCUGGGGACACAAGACGGAUGGGGCGAGGUGGGAUGCUGAGGGUGGGCAGCCCACCCUUCCGGGCUUGUCUGCCUUUAACACUGGCCAGUGAGGCAUCAGGCAUGCAGAGAAGGCUUCAAGGAGUCUGGGGGACUGUGCACAUUGAUGGAGAAGGUGUGGAUAUUCUCAAAGACGGUACAAAGGGAUGGCCGGAGGCAGGAGGAGAGUAGGAUGACAAGCCAGGUUCUCUGCCAGGCAUGUUGAGAGGGCAGGUGGACUCUGUCUAGAGAGGGGGGGUGUGGUUAGCAAUGUCAUGACUCUUUGGAUGGGAGAAAACAGUGACGCUUGAAGAAGCUGGGUGUGUGUGGGGAGUCUGGGGUCAGAGGCUGGGGGCCAGGGUAUGUGAGCAUGGAUUGUGGUCUGCAAGGGAAACUGCCUAGAGCCGCAGGGGUAUUUGUAGCUGGUGUAAAUAAGCAUAUAGAAUUGUGUGAAGGUUUAGUGUGUUGAAUGAAUGAAGAUGGUUUUUAAAAAGGAAAGCAGGGUGCUCAGCCUGCGUAGUGUUUGCCUCGGAAGAGUAAAGACUUGGCUUUGAUUCUCAAAACUCACACGGAAGUGUCAGGUGUGGCUGAGCGCGCAUGCUUGUAAUCCCGGUGCUGGAGAGGUUGUGACGGGGAUGUGAGGGGGCGGGGGUGGACUCCUGGGACCCAUUGGCCAGUCAGUGCGAGCUAACUGGUGAGCUCCUGGCCAGUGAGAGACCCUGUCUCAAAGGGAGUGACCGAUGCCCCCGAGGAUGUCUUGGCUUCUACGCACACAAGUACACACACCAGUGUUCACACACAGAUGUGCAUACACACACGUACAUAAAACAAAACAGAAGGGCAAUAAGUAAGCAAGUGUCAACAACUGACAACACCCAAAACUGGCGCUGAUCCCUGGGAAACGACUGAAACAGAAUGCUGUCACGUGACAACGCGCAUGCGCAAUCUGACAGGUCGCCUAAAAGUUGAGGAUUCCUAUCCAACCUCAGGUCUGCUAUGGGAACAUCGUUGUGUGCAGGCACAUUACUGACAGAAUGGAGCAUGACUGGACAAACGUCCUGUUGGGUUUGCUUCUCUCGGGACCCCUCACUGGAUCUAAAAAACUCCACUCAGCACUGGAAAACUGAUGGUCGGUACAGGAGGAACCGGAAACGGGGCGGGGGGUGGGAAGUGACAGACAGACCUAGGGUUACAGGAGGAUUUAAUGGGGACUUGUGGACAGAGCAUGCCCUGAGUGGCCAUACCUCAACGCAGUAAGAGGAAGUCUCGGUGCUGACCUAGACAAAGGUGAACAGCCAGAUGAACCUCACUAGUUACCAAUUUAUCCAACAUCAAUUACCAAACAGGCUGUGGAGGGAGUGAGGGCUGGAGAGAUGCUUCAGUUGUUAGAGAACACUUGCUGCUCUUGCAGAGGGCCCGAAUUUGGUUCCACAACUGCCUAUAACUCCAGCUUCGGGGGUGGUGGGGGUGGGACCUGACACUUCUGGUCUCUUCAGGUUGCACAUACACAUGUGCCCCUAUGCGAACACACAUCCAUAUAUACAUAAUCAAAAAUAAAAGGUUUUUUUUUUUUUUUUUAAAGACAGGGUCUCAUGUAGCUCUGGCUGUUAGACCAGGCUGGCCUUGAAUUCUCAGAUAUCUGCUUCCCAAGUGCUGACUACGACUAGCUCGCAAUAACAAAAUCUUUAAAAAGAAAGCAAGCCAUGUGUCCUUGCCUCACUAUGGCAUGUCAUGCCCAGCUGGUGGUCUCUGUGGCUCUGUGUUGUGGAGUUUGGAACAUGGUGAGGGUCACCUGGUAGGUGAGCUGACAGUUAGGACUGAAAUGGCCUUGGAUCUAUCAACCUGGGUCCCAGCAAUCACCAGUGAGGUGCUGCCUGUCACAGCUGAGGCUGGGAUUGCCUCUGCCUGUUACAUGCUGCAGAAGUGUGUAUGCGGGUUUGUGGAAGUGGAGCAAACCACACCUUCUGCAUGUGUGGAGGAGACACUGACCCCUGUGAGCUUAUUUAGUAAUUAGCAUGCCAGGCUUCUGGAGGCAGAGGGGGAGGAGCCCCUCUGCUUUCCCUCCACCCCGGGGGUGGGGGUGGGGUGGGGAUUAGAUUGCUGUUUGCUGCAGCAAUCGCUCCGAUUCUGUGCUUUUCUUUUGAAGGGUCUCGUGUAGGCCAAAAUGACGUUGAUGUCUCUUUGUAGCCGGAUGACUUUGAACUCCUGAUCUGCCACACCACCUCCAGUAGGAUCUGUGUGACAAGUUCCGCACACUGAGGCGACCGACCUCAAAAGGGGGAGGCCUCCUGGAACCGGCUGUGGAACUUUUCGCCAGAGAAAAAUUAUUGAGCCGUGGUUCUCAUGGCAAUCUCUCUGUUUUGUUUUCUCUUAUUCCUUUUCUUAUUUACAUGUUCCUCGAAGCCCAAGCUAAGAUCUUAAGUGAGAAUAAUGGGUAAGGAAGCAUCCCUAGAGAUGGGGUCACUAACAUGACCUCAUCCCUGGGGAAACCAACGCUUUACUUUCUAAAUCAUUUACAAAACUAUGAUGAUAGAUAAAAGUUUUUCCAACAAUAAAAUUUCAUAUGGCUACACGUGUGUCAUCGGAGGUUGGUUUUGGUAUAUGGUAAAGGAAGCCUUAA
This is a long non-coding RNA of Mus musculus (house mouse), 2640 nucleotides long. RefSeq annotates it as predicted gene, 46303. NCBI's taxonomy places the organism in Eukaryota, Metazoa, Chordata, Mammalia, Rodentia, Muridae. The record is from RefSeq and is a predicted model, not a curated record. The transcript is spliced from 2 exons.